CCUCGAGGGGGGGCGGGCGAAUAGGGGCAACCCUUAGUAGAGCGGCGCACGGGUGCGUAACACGUGGAUAAUCUGCCUGGAUGCCUGGGAUAACCAGUCGAAAGAUUGGCUAAUACCGGAUAAGCCCACGGUCUCUUCGGAGACUGAGGGAAAAGGUGGCCUCUGUAUACAAGCUAUCACAACCAGAUGAGUCCGCGGCCCAUCAGCUAGUUGGCGGGGUAAUGGCCCACCAAGGCGACGACGGGUAGCUGGUCUGAGAGGACGAUCAGCCACACUGGAACUGAGACACGGUCCAGACUCCUACGGGAGGCAGCAGUGGGGAAUUUUGCGCAAUGGGCGAAAGCCUGACGCAGCAACGCCGCGUGUGUGAUGAAGGUCUUUGGAUUGUAAAGCACUUUCGACCGGGACGAAACCGUAAAGCCUAAUACGCUUUGCCUUGACGGUACCGGGAGAAGAAGCACCGGCUAACUCUGUGCCAGCAGCCGCGGUAAUACAGAGGGUGCAAGCGUUGUUCGGAAUUAUUGGGCGUAAAGCGCGUGUAGGCGGCUUUGCAAGUCGGGUGUGAAAGCCCUCAGCUCAACUGAGGAAGUGCGCCCGAAACUGCAGAGCUUGAGUGCCGGAGAGGGUGGCGGAAUUCCCCAAGUAGAGGUGAAAUUCGUAGAUAUGGGGAGGAACACCGGUGGCGAAGGCGGCCACCUGGACGGUAACUGACGCUGAGACGCGAAAGCGUGGGUAGCAAACAGGAUUAGAUACCCUGGUAGUCCACGCCGUAAACGAUGAGAACUAGGUGUCGUGGGAGU
RNAcentral lists this ribosomal RNA (800 nucleotides) under Corallococcus exiguus. RNAcentral's name for it is "bacterial SSU rRNA". It matches the Rfam family "Bacterial small subunit ribosomal RNA", at positions 62 to 832 of the family's 1533-position model. The record is from RNAcentral. Lineage: Bacteria; Pseudomonadati; Myxococcota; Myxococcia; Myxococcales; Myxococcaceae.